RNAcentral lists this ribosomal RNA (498 nucleotides) under uncultured bacterium. RNAcentral describes it as "partial 16S ribosomal RNA". It matches the Rfam family "Bacterial small subunit ribosomal RNA", at positions 30 to 523 of the family's 1533-position model. The record is from RNAcentral.
AUUGAACGCUGGCGGCAUGCCUUACACAUGCAAGUCGAACGGUAACAGGUCUUCGGAUGCUGACGAGUGGCGAACGGGUGAGUAAUACAUUGGAACGUGCCUAGUAGUGGGGGAUAACUACUCGAAAGAGUGGCUGAUACCGCAUGAGAUCUACGGAUGAAAGCAGGGGAUCGCAAGACCUUGUGCUACUAGAGCGGCCGAUGGCAGAUUAGGUAGUUGGUGGGAUAAAAGCUUACCAAGCCGACGAUCUGUAGCUGGUCUGAGAGGACGAUCAGCCACACUGGGACUGAGACGCGGCCCCGACUCCUACGGGAGGCAGCAGUGGGGAAUUUUGGACAAUGGGCGCAAGCCUGAUCCAGCAAUGCCGCGUGCAGGAUGAAGGCCUUCGGGUUGUAAACUGCUUUUGUACGGAACGAAAAGCCCCGGGUUAAUACCCUGGGGUCAUGACGGUACCGUAAGAAUAAGCACCGGCUAACUACGUGCCAGCCGCCGCCGUAA